GACGAACGCUGGCGGCGUGCCUAAUACAUGCAAGUAGAACGCUGAAGAGAGGAGCUUGCUCUUCUUGGGUGAGUUGCGAACGGGUGAGUAACGCGUAGGUAACCUGCCUGGUAGCGGGGGAUAACUAUUGGAAACGAUAGCUAAUCCCGCAUAAAAUGGAUUAUCGCAUGAUAGUCCAUUGAAAGGUGCAAAUGCAUCACUACCAGAUGGACCUUCGUUGUAUUAGCUAGUUGGUGGGGUAACGGCUCACCAAGGCGUCGUUACAUAGCCGACCUGAGAGGGUGAGCGGCCACACUGGGACGGAGACACGGCACAGAGUGCUACGGGAGGCAGCAGGAGGGAAUCGGCGGCAAGGGACGGAAGUCUGACCGAGCAACGCCGCGUGAGGGAAGAAGGUUUUCGGAUCGUAAAGGUCUGUUGUAAGAGAAGAACGAGUGUGAGAGUGGAAAGUUCACACUGUGACGGUAUCUUACCAGAAAGGGACGGCUAACUACGUG
RNAcentral lists this ribosomal RNA (497 nucleotides) under uncultured bacterium. Its description in RNAcentral is "partial 16S ribosomal RNA". It matches the Rfam family "Bacterial small subunit ribosomal RNA", at positions 28 to 507 of the family's 1533-position model. The record is from RNAcentral.